GACGAACGCUGGCGGCGUGCUUAACACAUGCAAGUCGAACGGAAAGGCCCUGCUUGUAGGGUACUCGAAUGGCGAACGGGUGCGUAACACUAGGGUGUACUGCCCUGCACUUCGGGAUAAGCCCGGGAAACGGGGACGAAUACUGGAUAGGAGCCAUUUUUAGUGUGAUGGUUGGAAAGAUUUUUCGGUGUAGGACGAGCUCGCGGCCUAUCCGCUUGUUGGUGGGGGAAUGGCCUACCAAGGCGGCGACGGGUAGCCGGCCUGAGGGGGUGGACGGGCACAAUGGGACUGAGGGACGGCCCAGACGCCGACGGUAGGCAACAGUGGGAAAUCUUGCGCAACAAGGGCGAGCCUGAUGCGGCGGCGCUGCGUUUGUGAUGACGGGCUUCGGGUUGUGAAAUGCCUUCGCUAGGAACGAGGCAUUUUGUGACGGUACCUAAAUAGGAAGCCCCGGCUAACUACGUG
Molecule: ribosomal RNA, 465 nt
Filed under: uncultured bacterium
Lineage: Bacteria
Description: partial 16S ribosomal RNA
Rfam family: Bacterial small subunit ribosomal RNA
Source: RNAcentral